GUGUGUAGCAUAAAUGGUGUGUGUAAUGUAUAUGUGUGUAAUCUAGCUGUGUGUGAUGAGUAUGUGUGUGCUAUCAGUCGUGUGUGUUGUAUGUGUGCCUGUGGUAUGUGUAGUGUGGUGUGUGCAGGUUUGCAGAAUGUGUAGUGUGCAUGGCGUGUGUAAGUGUAGAUCGAGAGAGAUGUAAACAAACAAGACCUUUUUAUCCAUGAUAUUAUGGAAUGUGCUAAAAUACCUUUGUUGAUCCUUGUGUUGGGAUUCUGGGGCACACUUGGGAAUGGGCUCAGAUGGGAGAGAGGAAGAUGGGUCAGGAAGGGAGGGAAACUGGUGCCUCCGUUAGGGUUCUUUUAUUGAUCAGUACUCAUCCCCUAGAGAGGACUUGCCCAGAGAUCCAGCGCCUACCCAAAGGAACCACCCGCCCCUGCCUCCCAUUCAGAAAUCGGCCCCUAAAGAGAGUCCAGCCCGCAUCGCAGAGUGCACACCAUAUGGCUGAAGAAAUCUCGAGAAGUCGCCCGAGGGCAGGGUAGAGCUCAACGGGUCCCCAAGGGCGUCUCAAGGGAAAGUGAGGAGCCGCCUGGAGAGGGGGCGCUAGGGGCAGGACAGAAGGGAAGAAGAGGAAACGCCAGAAAGCCUCUUGGACCAGCGGCGCCGUCCGAGAGCCAAACUACUUGCUUGAGGCACUGACGACAGAGGGAAAAGUUUCUGGCCAAGACUUUCAAGAAGAAACGUAACUGAGAAGAGAGAGGAGAGUUACAGAUAGAUGUGAUGGGCACAGCGAAAGAAGAGGAGACUGCUGGGAAGGACUUUCUUGAAAUAACUGAGUCAAAGCCAAGAAGUCAACAAAGGUGGACCUUCUCACGGAGAGUGUCUUAGAGGACAAACAGCCUUCCUAGCAUCAACUUCACUCCCAACUGCUCCUCAACACUGUGUGAUUGUUCCAUCCAAGCACUGUUCUAACCACAUACAAUCCUCACAGCAACCCUUUGAGGCAGAGCAAAGCAAACUUGUUUAUUCCAUGCCACAGGGACAAGAAGAGUCAUCCCUGCUGAUACCUUCAAGCUUUUGUCAUCCAAGAGCAACCAACUGUCUGGGUAACCUCAAGCAUUACUUGGCCUUUCUAAAAUGCAAUUCUGUCAUGUAAACAGACAUUCUUGGGCUUACUGUCCUUAGCUGCUCGCUGUGGCCCAGCCAGUCUCCUUUCAGGUGUGCAAGCUGGAAGUCCAGGAAGCAAAGUUACCUUCUGCUCCAGAGUACCUUAUAGGUGCAGAAGGCCCACUCCUCCUGGGAGAGGAACCCGACCACAUCCUUGAGGGCCAUGCAUCUUGGAGUCCAUCUCCUCUUAUCUGGGCCUGGUCUCAGGGAGCCGAUGCCAGGCCUUCAUUUUGUUGGGUGCCCUUUUGAGGGUAGAGGCAGAGCUACCCAGACCAUAAAUCUUUCACCGAAUGUCUCUCUCAACAAUGAACAGCUCAGGGACUCUCCCACUUCAUUUCUGGGACCAAGGCUGUUCCUCCUCUCAUGAAUUCUUAAGAUUAUGCUUCAUUAUUUCAAAAUUAAGCUUCAGAAGCCCUCACACACUAGUGCCCAUGGUGGAGCUUUCUUCAAAUAAAGAUUUCUGGGCCCUACCCCCUGAGACUGAGUUGGUAGACCUGGGAUAAGGCCCUGGAAUCUAUACUUUUUAAAAGCAACACACCCGAUUUUAUGAUCUAAGAGAUUUGGGAAGGACAAACAUACAAAUCUUCCUGCAUAAUUUUCUUAGUUUAACUUUAUCUUCCCAAAGGGCAGCAGCAAGGUAGGUAUCAGCUCCUUUCUCGGGGCACAAAUGACUGGCCCUGGCCAAGUGUGCUUAAUAGAAAAGUGUGUCCGAGUCCCUCCCUGACUUUUACCUGCCAGGUAUUUUUAUUCCUAAGAGAAGUCUAAGGUAAGAUAUUCUUCUUAAAUCGGGGGAGAGCUAAGUUUUGUUGGUCCUGAAGCUUAUACAAUUCGAAGAGGCCCUUUUUAAGGAAAAGAAAAUCAAAAUAUGAAUUCAAAUUAAGUACAGAGCCUCAGAAGAGGCCUAUGCAAGUGAAGGACCCUAAAGAUCAAACUUCAUCACCUUCAUGACAUUUCUGCCUCUGAACAGCUUUCUCAUUCUGGAGUAAAUCGAAAGAACUCUGUUGCUCAAAUUGUCUAUACCUUCCAUCUAUAUUAGAUGAACUGAAUUGUGGAACUGAAAAAAAAAAAAAAGACCACAAAAAUAGAUUGUUUUGGCCUAGAAGAGUCUGAAGCUCAGUUUUUAGCUAUAACAUGGAGGCAUAGGCUUUCUUCGUUGGUGAGUUUUCGUGCUAUUCUUUAUAUUUCCUGAAAUUGUAGAAAGAGCAGCAUGGUUCCUUUACAAUCCACCUCCCAUUACCUUUCUGACCACAUCUAUUGUUCCACUCCUCGCUGUUUCUUUGCGUUCUUACUGGUCUUCUCUGAGCCCACCUGGCAUGCUCUCGCCUUAGGGUCUCUGAUUGAGGUUCCUCUUCCUGAAAUGGUAUUGUCUCUACGUUACAGAGAAAGACUCAUGGGUGCUGAAAACCCACAAAAACAUCCAUAGUGUUUAAUCCACUCGUGUCGUUCUUGACUCCUCUCUUUCUCACAUACUCCAUCCAAUCAGUCAGGAAACACUGUUGGCCCCAUCUUCAAAAUAUGUUCCGAGUUCAACCAUCACUUGCAUCUCUACCAUUGCCCUUUCGGUGGGGCCAGCAGCACCUUAGGUUACCUCUAUAGCCUCCCAUCUGAUCAGUCUCCCUCCUUCUCCCCUCGCCCCCUAUAGGCUAUCUCAGCACAGCAACCAAGGAAGUCCUUUAAAAUAUAAGUUAGAUCUUGUCACUUCUCUGCUCAAAACCCUCUCAUGGCUCCCUGCUUCCUCCAGAGUAAAAGCCAAUGUCUUUACAAAGGACUAUAAACCUCUACAGCUUAUGCUGUCCAAGGAGGUAACCACUGGCCACAUUUGGCUAUAGAACUUUGGAGAUGUGGUCACUCUAAAUUGAGAGGUAAAAUACACACUGGAUUUUGAAGAAUUAGUUUGGGAAAAAAAAGAAUGUAAAGAUUGGUGGUUGCCAGAAAUGGGGGCCUGGGGAGUGGGGGAAAUGAGUGAAGGCAGUCAAAAGGUACAAACUCCUAAUUAUAAGACAAAUAAGUUCUGGAGAUGUAAAGUACAGCAUGGUGAGUAUAGUUAACAAUGCUCUAUUAUAUGAAAGUUGCUAAGGGAGUGGAUCUUAAAAGCUCUCAUAAGAAAAAAAAUUGUAACCAUGUGAGGUGAUGGAUGUUAACUAAACUUAUUGUGCUAAUCAUUUUGCCACGUAUCCAUAUGCAGAAUCAUUGUUUUACAUCUUAAAUGGAUACAAUGCUAUAUGUCAUAUCUCAAUAAAACUGGAAAAAAUAAAAAA
Long non-coding RNA from Pteropus alecto (black flying fox), 3407 nucleotides. RefSeq lists it as uncharacterized. The record is from RefSeq and is a predicted model, not a curated record. NCBI's taxonomy places the organism in Eukaryota, Metazoa, Chordata, Mammalia, Chiroptera, Pteropodidae. The transcript has 4 exons.